RNAcentral lists this ribosomal RNA (698 nucleotides) under uncultured Enterobacter sp. RNAcentral's name for it is "bacterial SSU rRNA". It matches the Rfam family "Bacterial small subunit ribosomal RNA", at positions 62 to 749 of the family's 1533-position model. Lineage: Bacteria; Pseudomonadati; Pseudomonadota; Gammaproteobacteria; Enterobacterales; Enterobacteriaceae. The record is from RNAcentral.
UCGAACGGUAACAGGAAGCAGCUUGCUGCUUCGCUGACGAGUGGCGGACGGGUGAGUAAUGUCUGGGAAACUGCCUGAUGGAGGGGGAUAACUACUGGAAACGGUAGCUAAUACCGCAUAACGUCGCAAGACCAAAGAGGGGGACCUUCGGGCCUCUUGCCAUCGGAUGUGCCCAGAUGGGAUUAGCUAGUAGGUGGGGUAACGGCUCACCUAGGCGACGAUCCCUAGCUGGUCUGAGAGGAUGACCAGCCACACUGGAACUGAGACACGGUCCAGACUCCUACGGGAGGCAGCAGUGGGGAAUAUUGCACAAUGGGCGCAAGCCUGAUGCAGCCAUGCCGCGUGUAUGAAGAAGGCCUUCGGGUUGUAAAGUACUUUCAGCGGGGAGGAAGGCGAUAAGGUUAAUAACCUUGUCGAUUGACGUUACCCGCAGAAGAAGCACCGGCUAACUCCGUGCCAGCAGCCGCGGUAAUACGGAGGGUGCAAGCGUUAAUCGGAAUUACUGGGCGUAAAGCGCACGCAGGCGGUCUGUCAAGUCGGAUGUGAAAUCCCCGGGCUCAACCUGGGAACUGCAUUCGAAACUGGCAGGCUAGAGUCUUGUAGAGGGGGGUAGAAUUCCAAGUGUAGCGGUGAAAUGCGUAGAGAUCUGGAGGAAUACCGGUGGCGAAGGCGGCCCCCUGGACAAAGACUGACGCUCA